Bos taurus (domestic cattle) is the source of this 368-nucleotide long non-coding RNA. Lineage: Eukaryota; Metazoa; Chordata; Mammalia; Artiodactyla; Bovidae. The record is from Ensembl.
GCCUGACUCGGCCCGGCGGGGCUGGCGGGGCUGGGGCCGCACCAGGCCGAGGCGCAGUGUAAAAAUAACCUGCUCCAGAAAAGAAGUAUGGAAGUAGUCUCACCAGGCCCUGCACAUUGUUAACCUCUGGGAAUGAACUUGGAGAACCAUGGAUCUGGUGCCUUGGAUACUGAGAGGUUUGACAACAGGGAAGUCGGAUCCAAGGAUCAUUGCGAGUUUAAGAGACGGGAUCUCUUCAGCCAUGCCUUCCUACCCAACCCUCCAGGAGCGGUGGAAAAGAUAGUGCCACGGAGGAAUGUCCUGGGUUUGAGCCCAUUAUGCCACUAACCAGCUCUUUGUAUCCUUGAAUAAACUCCCUUAGUCUCCCC